AUGAAAUGAUGAUGUUGUUUAUCCAUUCUCUGAGUAUUGCCAGUUGCCAGUCCUUGCAGCACUUGAUCUGUUCUAGAUCCGAGUGUGACAGCCCCAUUUACUGUAAAGGUGGCCCAGUGUUCUACUGAGUGCCUUGUGGUAUUUGGUAGCUGUUGUAGGAUUGGUCAAUCUGACAUGGGCGCAGUGUCUGCCUAACAAAGACGAGGAUUCAACUCUGAUCAU
Molecule: small nucleolar RNA, 222 nt
Filed under: Erpetoichthys calabaricus (reedfish)
Lineage: Eukaryota; Metazoa; Chordata; Cladistia; Polypteriformes; Polypteridae
Description: Small nucleolar RNA SNORD17 (ENSECRG00000015620.1)
Rfam family: Small nucleolar RNA SNORD17
About the family: The snoRNA HBI-43 belongs to the C/D family of snoRNAs, guiding 2'O-ribose methylation at position U3797 of the 28S rRNA. Pseudouridylation in position U3797 is predicted to be guided by the H/ACA snoRNA ACA48.
Source: Rfam by way of RNAcentral